This 837-nucleotide ribosomal RNA is filed under the name Lophiostoma ononidis. Its description in RNAcentral is "eukaryotic LSU rRNA". It matches the Rfam family "Eukaryotic large subunit ribosomal RNA", at positions 81 to 937 of the family's 3401-position model. Lineage: Eukaryota; Fungi; Ascomycota; Dothideomycetes; Pleosporales; Lophiostomataceae. The record is from RNAcentral.
UAGUAACGGCGAGUGAAGCGGCAACAGCUCAAAUUUGAAAUCUGGCUCCUUUGGGGUCCGAGUUGUAAUUUGUAGAGGGUGCUUUGGCGUUGGUUGUGGUCUAAGUUCCUUGGAACAGGACGUCACAGAGGGUGAGAAUCCCGUACGUGGCCGCCAGCCUUCGCCGUGUAAAGCCCCUUCGAUGAGUCGAGUUGUUUGGGAAUGCAGCUCUAAAUGGGAGGUAAAUUUCUUCUAAAGCUAAAUAUUUGCCAGAGACCGAUAGCGCACAAGUAGAGUGAUCGAAAGAUGAAAAGCACUUUGGAAAGAGAGUCAAAAAGCACGUGAAAUUGUUGAAAGGGAAGCGCUUGCAGCUAGACGUGCCUUGGGUUGAUCAGCCGGACUUUUGCCCGGUGCACUCUUCCUUUGGCAGGCCAGCAUCAGUUUGGGCGGCUGGAUAAAGGUCUGUUAAACGUGACUUCCUUCGGGGAGAGCUUAUAGGGCAGACGACAUGCAGCCAGCCUGAACUGAGGUCCGCGCAUCUGCUAGGAUGCUGGCAUAAUAGCUGUAAGCGGCCCGUCUUGAAACACGGACCAAGGAGUCUAACAUCUAUGCGAGUGUUUGGGUGUCAAGCCCGAGCGCGUAAUGAAAGUAAACGGAGGUGGGAACCUUUUAGGUGCACCAUCGACCGAUCUUGAUGUCUUCGGAUGGAUUUGAGUAAGAGCAUAGCUGUUGGGACCCGAAAGAUGGUGAACUAUGCCUGAAUAGGGUGAAGCCAGAGGAAACUCUGGUGGAGGCUCGCAGCGGUUCUGACGUGCAAAUCGAUCGUCAAAUUUGGGCAUAGGGGCGAAAGACUAAUCG